This 86-nucleotide transfer RNA is filed under the name bacterium. RNAcentral describes it as "tRNA-Ser". It matches the Rfam family "tRNA". Rfam says of the family: Transfer RNA (tRNA) molecules are approximately 80 nucleotides in length. Their secondary structure includes four short double-helical elements and three loops (D, anti-codon, and T loops). The record is from RNAcentral.
GGAGAUGUAUCGAAGUGGUCAUAACGAGCCUGACUCGAAAUCAGGUUGCCUUUCGGGGCACGUGGGUUCAAAUCCCACCGUCUCCG